This is a non-coding RNA of Vicia faba (fava bean), 282 nucleotides long. Lineage: Eukaryota; Viridiplantae; Streptophyta; Magnoliopsida; Fabales; Fabaceae. The record is from the annotation of a GenBank genome assembly.
AUGGGUCAAAUAGACAAAACCCGGUCCAUCAACAACCACUUUUAUGAUUUAUCUAUUUUUUUGCUUAAAUCCCAAAAAACGAUUACGCAUCAAACUAUCAAGCUUGAUGAAGUAGUAACAAGAAAACGCGAAGAAAAGGAGCAUAAUCGACUUACCAACCAAAGUGGCUCUAACGACUCUUCGAAGGAGGCGGAGACAGAGAGAAAUCCAGUGAAUCUCGCGUAUUCAGGCUUAUCAAAAUUUGGAUUGCUUGCUCAUGAUCAACUUGGUGUUACCUGCUGA